AGAGUUUGAUCCUGGCUCAGGACGAACGUUGGCGGCGUGCUUAACACAUGCAAGUCGAGCGGUUCUCGUAGUUUACUUCGAGGAUAGCGGCGGACGGGUGAGNNAGGACGAACGUUGGCGGCGUGCUUAACACAUGCAAGUCGAGCGGUUCUCGUAGUUUACUUCGAGGAUAGCGGCGGACGGGUGAGUAACGCGUGGAUAAUCUGCCUGUAAGACAGGGAUAACGCCGGGAAACCGGUGCUAAUUUUGAAUCGCAUGGUUUGAAGAGAAAAGGUGGCCUCUUUACAAUGCUACCACUUACAGAUGAAUCCGCGUCCCAUUAGCCAGUUGGUGGGGUAAUGGCCUACCAAAGCAACGAUGGGUAGCCGGCCUGAGAGGGUGACCGGCCACACUGGAACUGAGAUACGGUCCAGACUCCUACGGGAGGCAGCAGUGGGGAAUCUUCCGCAAUGGGCGAAAGCCUGACGGAGCAACGCCGCGUGAGCGAAGAAGGUCUUCGGAUUGUAAAGCUCUGUGAUAUUGGACGAAACAAAUGACGGUACCCCAAAAACAAGCCACGGCUAACUACGUGCCAGCAGCCGCGGUAAUACGUAGGUGGCGAGCGUUGUCCGGAAUUACUGGGUGUAAAGGGCGUGUAGGCGGGAAUGCAAGUCAGAUGUGAAAUGCCAAUAGCUUAACUAUUGUGAGCCUUUGGAACUGGUCAGCUUGAGUGCAAGAGAGGGAAGUGGAAUUCCUAGUGUAGCGGUGAAAUGCGUAGAUAUUAGGAGGAACACCAGUGGCGAAGGCGACUUCCUGGCUUGUAACUGACACUGAGGCGCGAAAGCGUGGGGAUCAAACAGGAUUAGAUACCCUGGUAGUCCACGCCGUAAACGAUGAGUGCUAGGUGUCGGGGGUAUCGACCCCCUCGGUGCCACAGCUAACGCAAUAAGCACUCCGCCUGGGGAGUACGGUCGCAAGACUGAAACUCAAAGGAAUUGACGGGGGCCCGCACAAGCGGUGGAGUAUGUGGUUUAAUUCGACGCAACGCGAAGAACCUUACCAAGGCUUGACAUCCUGUGACAGCUAGAAAUAUAGACUUCUUAGUUUACUAAGACACAGAGACAGGUGGUGCAUGGUUGUCGUCAGCUCGUGUCGUGAGAUGUUGGGUUAAGUCCCGCAACGAGCGCAACCCCUACAGCCAGUUGCCAGCACAUAAAGGGGCACUCUAAAGAGACUGCCGUUGACAAAACGGAGGAAGGUGGGGAUGACGUCAAAUCAUCAUGCCCCUUAUGUCUUGGGCUACACACGUACUACAAUGGCCUGAACAGAGGGAAGCAAAACUGCGAAGUUAAGCCAACCCCUUAAAACAGGUCCCAGUUCGGAUUGUAGGCUGCAACUCGCCUACAUGAAGUCUGGAAUCGUGAAUACGUUCCCGGGCCUUGUACACACCGCCCGUCACACCACGAAAGUCGGCAACACCCGAAGCCGCACGAAAGUCGGCAACACCCGAAGCCGGUGACUCAACCCGAAAGGGAGAGAGCCGUCGAAGGUGGGGUUGGUAAUUGGGGUGAAGUCGUAACAAGGUAACC
This 1568-nucleotide ribosomal RNA is filed under the name uncultured bacterium. RNAcentral's name for it is "16S ribosomal RNA". It matches the Rfam family "Bacterial small subunit ribosomal RNA". The record is from RNAcentral.